AAACUACUUCCUCCGUCUCAAAAUUCUUGUCUUAAGUUUAAUUAGAAAUGGAUGUACCUAAAUACUAAAACUCAACUAGAUACAUUUAUAUAUAGACAAACGUAAGACAAGAAUUUUGGAAAGGAGGGAGUAUACA
Molecule: non-coding RNA, 136 nt
Organism: Hordeum vulgare subsp. vulgare (domesticated barley)
Lineage: Eukaryota; Viridiplantae; Streptophyta; Magnoliopsida; Poales; Poaceae
Source: Rfam